GGGCCCGCACAAGCGGUGGAGCAUGUGGUUUAAUUCGAUGAUACGCGAGGAACCUUACCAGGGCUUAAAUGUAGUGGGGACAGGGUCUAGAGAUAGACCCUUCUUCGGACUCAUUACAAGGUGCUGCAUGGUUGUCGUCAGCUCGUGCCGUGAGGUGUCAGGUUAAGUCCUAUAACGAGCGCAACCCCUAUCGUUAGUUGCCAGCGAGUAAUGUCGGGAACUCUAACGAAACUGCCAGUGCAAAACUGUGAGGAAGGUGGGGAUGACGUCAAAUCAUCACGGCCCUUACGUCCUGGCUACACACGUGCUACAAUGGCCGGUACAGAGAGCAGCCACUUCGCAAGAAGGAGCG
This 352-nucleotide ribosomal RNA is filed under the name uncultured bacterium. RNAcentral's name for it is "bacterial SSU rRNA". It matches the Rfam family "Bacterial small subunit ribosomal RNA", at positions 917 to 1269 of the family's 1533-position model. The record is from RNAcentral.